AGUUAACAGCUCCAGAGUUUCUCCAUUUGUUCAGAUACAAAACAUUUUUUUUUGUAGACUAAUGAGGAAUCUUGCCUAAAGUGACUUGUAGCUUCCUUCAGCUACUGGUAAGCCAAGGAAUGGUUCACUAGGAGAUAGCAACUUGCCUGGCAGAAGAGACUGAGCAGUCAGAGCAAUGAGAUUAUCUUCAUGCCCCUUUCCACUUUAGCUUUCUUUAAUGGAGUUAUG
Molecule: unclassified non-coding RNA, 228 nt
Filed under: Hevea brasiliensis (rubber tree)
Lineage: Eukaryota; Viridiplantae; Streptophyta; Magnoliopsida; Malpighiales; Euphorbiaceae
Source: RNAcentral